RNAcentral lists this unclassified non-coding RNA (345 nucleotides) under Hevea brasiliensis (rubber tree). Lineage: Eukaryota; Viridiplantae; Streptophyta; Magnoliopsida; Malpighiales; Euphorbiaceae. The record is from RNAcentral.
UACAACAAAUCCCAUCUUCAGAUUAAAUGCAAAGAAAAAGCCUUUGCUUGCAAAAAUAAGAAGAAAUUUCAUCAGAAGAAGUAUAUGCACAAGCCAAAGAAAGGCCCCAAAAAGAAAGCCUUUCCAUUCUUCAAAAAGAAACCCGUUCAAGGCAAAACAAAAUCAAACAGAUGUUUUAUCUAUGGAAAGAAAGGCCAUUUCUCUAAAUUAUGUCCUCAAAAUCCAAAGAAUGCAGCAAAAAUGAUUCAACAAAUUCAUCAAAGCACUCAUUUAAAUUUGGAAGACGCAGAUAUUGAAUCCCUAUUCUCAGAGCAAGAUGAAGCUGACAAAGAAACUAUCUUUGCU